GUAGGUGCGUAUCGGAUUUACUGGGCGUAAGCGCGCGUAGGUGGUUAAUUAAGUCAAAUGUGAAAUCCCCGAGCUUAACUUGGGAAUUGCAUUCGAUACUGGUUAGCUAGAGUAUGGGAGAGGAUGGUAGAAUUCCAGGUGUAGCGGUGAAAUGCGUAGAGAUCUGGAGGAAUACCGAUGGCGAAGGCAGCCAUCUGGCCUAAUACUGACACUGAGGUGCGAAAGCAUGGGGAGCAAACAGGAUUAGAUACCCUGGUAGUCCAUGCCGUAAACGAUGUCUACUAGCCGUUGGGGGAUUUGAUCCUUUAGUGGCGCAGCUAACGCGAUAAGUAGACCGCCUGGGGAGUACGGUCGCAAGACUAAAACUCAAAUGAAUUGACGGGGGCCCGCACAAGCGGUGGAGCAUGUGGUUUAAUUCGAUGCAACGCGAAGAACCUUACCUGGCCUUGACAUAGUAGAAACUUUCCAGAGAUGGAUUGGUGCCUUCGGGAAUCUACAUACAGGUGCUGCAUGGCUGUCGUCAGCUCGUGUCGUGAGAUGUUGGGUUAAGUCCCGCAACGAGCGCAACCCUUUUCCUUACUUGCCAGCAUUUCGGAUGGGAACUUUAAGGAUACUGCCAGUGACAAACUGGAGGAAGGCGGGGACGACGUCAAGUCAUCAUGGCCCUUACGGCCAGGGCUACACACGUGCUACAAUGGUCGGUACAAAGGGUUGCUACACAGCGAUGUGAUGCUAAUCUCAAAAAGCCGAUCGUAGUCCGGAUCGCAGUCUGCAACUCGACUGCGUGAAGUCGGAUCGCUAGUAAUCGCGGAUCAGAAUGCCGCGGUGAAUACGUUCCCGGGCCUUGUACACACCGCCCGUCACACCAUGGGAGUUUGUUGCACCAGAAGUAGUAGUCUAACCGCAAGGAGGACGCUUACCACGGUGUGGCCGAUGACUGGGGUGAGCUCGAGG
Molecule: ribosomal RNA, 954 nt
Filed under: Acinetobacter sp. NF66
Lineage: Bacteria; Pseudomonadati; Pseudomonadota; Gammaproteobacteria; Moraxellales; Moraxellaceae
Description: bacterial SSU rRNA
Rfam family: Bacterial small subunit ribosomal RNA
Source: RNAcentral